CCUACGGGUGGCAGCAGUGGGGAAUAUUGGACAAUGGGGGCAACCCUGAUCCAGCCAUGCCGCGUGUGUGAAGAAGGCCCUCGGGUUGUAAAGCACUUUCAGUGAGGAAGAACGCCUGGUGGUUAAUACCCAUCAGGAAAGACAUCACUCACAGAAGAAGCACCGGCUAACUCCGUGCCAGCAGCCGCGGUAAUACGGAGGGUGCGAGCGUUAAUCGGAAUUACUGGGCGUAAAGCGCGCGUAGGUGGCUUGAUAAGCCGGUUGUGAAAGCCCCGGGCUCAACCUGGGAACGGCAUCCGGAACUGUCAAGCUAGAGUGCAGGAGAGGAAGGUAGAAUUCCCGGUGUAGCGGUGAAAUGCGUAGAGAUCGGGAGGAAUUCCAGUGGCGAAGGCGGCCUUCUGGACUGACACUGACACUGAGGUGCGAAAGCGUGGGUAGCAAACAGGAUUAGAUACCCUGGUAGUC
RNAcentral lists this ribosomal RNA (465 nucleotides) under Vreelandella stevensii. Its description in RNAcentral is "partial 16S ribosomal RNA". It matches the Rfam family "Bacterial small subunit ribosomal RNA", at positions 338 to 795 of the family's 1533-position model. Lineage: Bacteria; Pseudomonadati; Pseudomonadota; Gammaproteobacteria; Oceanospirillales; Halomonadaceae. The record is from RNAcentral.